AUUUAAUGACAACGUCUCUUAUUUGCAGCAUGAGUGACAAAUCCUCAGAAUUGGACCUGAUAUGGCAGCCCGACCCCGUGGCAUCGUCAAAAUGCCGUUAGCUGGUGCAACAGAGGCCAAGCUCAUCUCAAAAUUCCCCAUCAUAUUCUGCAUAAAUUGCUUCAUGAGUCAUUGCUGUAGCAUUGCUGCUGCUGCUGCUAAUUGUGAUGGAAACAUCUGACCCUUCAACUCACGUCUUGAUAGAUACGUAAAGCACCUGUGCAGAGCUGAAGCUAACGAGACCAGAAAAACAUCAUUAUUGUUGGUAUGUCUCACUCAAUCGCAAAUAAUAGUCUAGUUCAUUUAACAGCAGUGUCAGAGUAACAAAUUUAUUGGACCAAAAAAAGUUUGCUUUCUAAGUACAUUCUCCUUCUUCUGCUGUUUGCUUGUUAGUCUGUGACCUUAAAUUUUGCAAUGUCCUUUACCUACUAAUUGCC
Molecule: long non-coding RNA, 476 nt
Filed under: Dromaius novaehollandiae (emu)
Lineage: Eukaryota; Metazoa; Chordata; Aves; Casuariiformes; Dromaiidae
Description: lncRNA (ENSDNVG00000010269.1)
Source: RNAcentral